Molecule: transfer RNA, 74 nt
Filed under: Nitrososphaera sp.
Lineage: Archaea; Thermoproteati; Nitrososphaerota; Nitrososphaeria; Nitrososphaerales; Nitrososphaeraceae
Also listed under: 7 other names
Description: tRNA-Thr
Rfam family: tRNA
About the family: Transfer RNA (tRNA) molecules are approximately 80 nucleotides in length. Their secondary structure includes four short double-helical elements and three loops (D, anti-codon, and T loops).
Source: RNAcentral
GCCUCGGUAGCUCAGCAGGUUAGAGCGAGCGCCUCGUAAGCGCUAGGUCGCGGGUUCAAAUCCCGCCCGAGGCU